GGUUGAUCCUACACGAAAAACAAAUAUUUUUAUUUCUGAACCGAGUCUGUCCUCCAUAGUUGUUUCUGAUACCAUUCCGAAAUAUAAAGUUGAUGUUGGUCAAAUUGUUUUGCCGAUAAAGAGGAAGGCCACUCAGAAAUGUAAAGCAGUUAUGUUGGUGUCCGACGAGUCUCUUAUCGCUCAUCGUACACGUUCAAAGUUUAGAAACAAAAAUG
Helianthus annuus (common sunflower) is the source of this 215-nucleotide long non-coding RNA. RefSeq lists it as uncharacterized. Lineage: Eukaryota; Viridiplantae; Streptophyta; Magnoliopsida; Asterales; Asteraceae. The record is from RefSeq and is a predicted model, not a curated record. The transcript is spliced from 3 exons.